GGGUGCUCAGGAUCUUUCUGUCCUGAGCCUUGGGUAAGGGACAGAUAGAGAAAAGCCCCACUUGAGUUGUAAUCAAAGUGAGGCUGCCCUUACGACCGGAAACGUAAAGGUAGCCUUUUACCUGCUGAAAAGCAAUGGAGAAGGAGGCCAAAGAUG
Molecule: non-coding RNA, 156 nt
Organism: Triticum urartu
Lineage: Eukaryota; Viridiplantae; Streptophyta; Magnoliopsida; Poales; Poaceae
Source: Rfam